This 497-nucleotide ribosomal RNA is filed under the name uncultured bacterium. RNAcentral's name for it is "partial 16S ribosomal RNA". It matches the Rfam family "Bacterial small subunit ribosomal RNA", at positions 28 to 507 of the family's 1533-position model. The record is from RNAcentral.
GACGAACGCUGGCGGCGUGCCUAAUACAUGCAAGUUGAGCGCUGAAGGUUGGUACUUGUACCAACUGGAUGAGCAGCGAACGGGUGAGUAACGCGUGGGGAAUCUGCCUUUGAGCGGGGGACAACAUUUGGAAACGAAUGCUAAUACCGCAUAAAAACUUUAAACACAAGUUUUAAGUUUGAAAGAUGCAAUUGCAUCACUCAAAGAUGAUCCCGCGUUGUAUUAGCUAGUUGGUGAGGUAAGGGCUCACCAAGGCGAUGAUACAUAGCCGACCUGAGAGGGUGAUCGGCCAAAUUGGGACUGGGACACGGCCCAAACUCCUACGGGAAGCAGCAGUAGGGAAUCUUCGGCAAUGGACGAAAGUCUGACCGAGCAACGCCGCGUGAGUGAAGAAGGUUUUCGGAUCGUAAAACUCUGUUGGUAGAGAAGAACGUUGGUGAGAGUGGAAAGCUCAUCAAGUGACGGUAACUACCCAGAAAGGGACGGCUAACUACGUG